GAAUCAUUUACUUUAACUCUCUUUUGUGGAGUCAGCCUUCAAUCUUUGCCCUGCCUAGUCAUACUGCCUGCCUGUGAGAAGAGAAAGUGGUGGAAAAGUAGCAAGAAAUACUUUCUCAAAAUGCUUUCAUGGUGAAGGGUCAGCAGCAUAAUGUACCUGAGAGACUAUGCACUCCAGUUUUUCUCCAGGGACAAGAGGGAAAUGUAAUCUGUCAAGCAACUGUGAACCUUGAUAGCUGAACAGACAGGCAGAAAGGAACCUCACUACUAUGGCUUAGGAACAAAUUUGUAUCAUCAAAGAAAAUGGGUUUGGAGCCAGAGCUGAGGAGAGAAUACUGUGGCAGAAGCCUCUUCCAGACCCACUGUGCCUGUUGUGAACUGAGGCAGUUUCAUCCAUGUGCUGUGUGAACAGGUCACAGAUGCCUAUCAAACCUAGGCAAAUGAUUCUUCUGCCCAACCAGAAAACCAGAAGCCCCCGG
Molecule: long non-coding RNA, 478 nt
Organism: Fukomys damarensis (Damara mole-rat)
Lineage: Eukaryota; Metazoa; Chordata; Mammalia; Rodentia; Bathyergidae
Exons: 3
Source: RefSeq, a predicted model, not a curated record